GCCUACGGGGCGCAGCAGUGAGGAAUAUUGGUCAAUGGCCGAAGGGCUGAACCAGCCAAGCCGCGUGAAGGAAUAAGGCCCUACGGGUCGUAAACUUCUUUGGUCAGGGAACAAAGGGAGCCACGCGUGGCGCUGUGAGUGUACCUGAAGAAUAAGCAUCGGCUAACUCCGUGCCAGCAGCCGCGGUAAUACGGAGGAUGCGAGCGUUAUCCGGAUUUAUUGGGUUUAAAGGGUGCGUAGGCGGUUUGUCAAGUCAGCGGUCAAAGCCCGGGGCUCAACCCCGGCCCGCCGUUGAAACUGGCAGG
This 305-nucleotide ribosomal RNA is filed under the name uncultured bacterium. Its description in RNAcentral is "bacterial SSU rRNA". It matches the Rfam family "Bacterial small subunit ribosomal RNA", at positions 337 to 640 of the family's 1533-position model. The record is from RNAcentral.